Molecule: long non-coding RNA, 568 nt
Organism: Anolis carolinensis (green anole)
Lineage: Eukaryota; Metazoa; Chordata; Lepidosauria; Squamata; Anolidae
Exons: 4
Source: RefSeq, a predicted model, not a curated record
CAGGGUUAACACCGUAGAGUGUGCCCAGCGGCUGCGGCCUAGAGAGGGCUACGAAGGAAGUUCAGGGGCUCGAUUGUGCGGGGACCUCCUUCCUGUGCCAGAGCGGAUCUCAAUUGCAGCAAGGCACCUUGCAGCAUCCCAUGCCCUGGCGGCGGGGAAAAACAAAGCCAACGGCGGGGAAACCACAAAGAGGAGCAUCAGAGCUGAGUGGCAAGAUCAAGGUUAACUAACACUGGUGUGGUUUCCCGUAUGGAAAGUGCAAACGAAGCAUGCAUUCUGGAAGUAGAGACACAAAAAGUCUAGUCAUGUCCAACUCCGGGGAUUGGUGCUCAUCUCCAUUUCUAAACUGAAGAGCCACUGUUCACCAUAGACACUUCAAAGAUCAUGUGGCCGGCAUGACUGCAUGGAGCGUCGUUACCUUCCUGCCAGAGUGCAGAGGACAUCAGUAUAAAAAUUGAAGAUGAGGAAGAGGAAGAAAAACAACCACCGAGCACAGAAACAGCAAACAAAAGGAUCGACAGAGUUGCAGAAAACCCAUGUGAAAUUUCUCCAAAGAAGAAAGUCAUCG